This is a long non-coding RNA of Mastomys coucha (southern multimammate mouse), 1054 nucleotides long. RefSeq lists it as uncharacterized. The record is from RefSeq and is a predicted model, not a curated record. The transcript has 3 exons. NCBI's taxonomy places the organism in Eukaryota, Metazoa, Chordata, Mammalia, Rodentia, Muridae.
AUAGGCUGCUGAGCCUUCAACAUGUAGACCUUUGGGGGAAUUUCAUUCUCAGUCCACCAUAGCAUGUCCAAAGUCAGAUCCAGUGAUGUGUUUAUAAAAAGAUAAAGACAGAAGAAUAUGUUUUGGUGAAGGUGUAGUCAGUUAUCAUGUGGCAGUCUGUCCGUCCAGCCAACUCUUCACCUACACAAGACAGCCCCAGUAUGUCCUUCAACAACUCGGGUGGAAUAACUUGCUGUGGCUCGCCCAGGAGCCCAACACCUAACAAAGCUCAGCUGCCUGCCUUCUGCUGUCAUUCUCAGCCUUACGGUCACAUGUGCCCUGACAGUGAUUCCGAUUUUUGUUGGAGCUAAAAGCCACAAGCCCAGGCCAUUGAAACAAGAGGAAGAAAGGCAUCUCCUCCUCAUCCUCUACCAGUGUACCAACAAGCUGCUGCCACUGUAGCCUGGACCUCCAGUCAAGUCACCAGCCUCCUUCAUCUCCAUCCUCCACCAGUGUACCAACAAGCUGCUCCUGCUGUGGCCUGGACCUCCAGUCAAGCCACCAGCCUCCUUCAUCCCUGUUGAAUGAACACUGCUCCUAUCUCUCAAAUUUGGUCUAUCUUGAGGUCUUACUGUUUGGGGUAUGGCUGACAGAUUCCUCCCAUUCCAAACCAGUCUGUGAUCUCAAUACUGACCCAUCCCUGCCCUUCCAGCCUUCUUCCUUUCCCCUUUUUACAAAUACUGUCUUUUUCGAUCUACCAAAAUACUUGGGAGGCCAUUAAACUGUGCCAGCUCCAGCCCCUGGAGUUCCCAUGUAAGCAAACCGUGAACCCUAUUUAAUGUCACCAGUAAAAUGCAACAAACAUAACCUUUACCAAUCAAAACCUGUCAACUAAUCUCGGGGUAGGACUGUACUGCCACAGCACACCUGUGUAGGUGAGACAAACUUUGUGGAGUCUGCUUUCUCCAUCCACCUCUAGAUGGGUUCUGGGAAUUGAAUGUGGCUCUCCAGCUUUGUGUGCCAAGUUCCUUACACACUGAGCCAUCUAAUCUGCCCAAAGAUAAACUUCUUAAAA